AUACGUAGGUGGCGAGCGUUGUCCGGAAUUAUUGGGCGUAAAGAGCAUGUAGGCGGCUUAAUAAGUCGAGCGUGAAAAUGCGGGGCUCAACCCCGUAUGGCGCUGGAAACUGUUGGGCUUGAGUGCAGGAGAGGAAAGGGGAAUUCCCAGUGUAGCGGUGAAAUGCGUAGAUAUUGGGAGGAACACCAGUGGCAAAGACGCAUUUCAGGGCUGUGCAGGGAGUUUAAAUGCGAACUCCAGGGUAGAGGUUUCGAUUAGAGCCCCCGGUUGUCCUGGCUAUAAACGAGGGGUACUAAGUGUACGAGGUAUCGCGCCCGUCUGUGCCGUAGGUAACAUAAUUCGGGCCACCGCUGGGGAGUACGGCCUCAAGGUUGCAGCUUAAAGGAUUUGGCGGAG
This 396-nucleotide ribosomal RNA is filed under the name uncultured bacterium. RNAcentral's name for it is "partial 16S ribosomal RNA". It matches the Rfam family "Bacterial small subunit ribosomal RNA", at positions 523 to 918 of the family's 1533-position model. The record is from RNAcentral.